Long non-coding RNA from Rosa rugosa (rugosa rose), 333 nucleotides. RefSeq lists it as uncharacterized. NCBI's taxonomy places the organism in Eukaryota, Viridiplantae, Streptophyta, Magnoliopsida, Rosales, Rosaceae. The record is from RefSeq and is a predicted model, not a curated record. The transcript is spliced from 3 exons.
AAGGUUGCGUUGGAUCCAAGGGAAGCAACCACACGUCCCCACAGUCCCAACCAGAGACAAGAGAGAAGAGAAAGAGAGAAGGGCCUAAGAGACUAGCAAUUAAGCAAUUCGCACCAAAACCACGAGAUCGAGCUGGUGCUAAAUCCAGGUGGAGAAAGCGGAGUUUAAUGGUGAUUGAGACGUGGCCGCGGUGAUUCUGGGGAGUCACAGUGGGGAGCAAGAACGGAGUGGAUCGGAUGGACAAGGACAAGAGCCGUACCGAUCUGCUCGCUGCUGGCCGUAAAAAGCUUCAACAAUUCCUUCAGAAGAAGGAUAAAGGCAGUGGAAGCCAGG